This 378-nucleotide unclassified non-coding RNA is filed under the name uncultured Parachlamydiaceae bacterium. Its description in RNAcentral is "contains 16S-23S intergenic spacer region". Lineage: Bacteria; Pseudomonadati; Chlamydiota; Chlamydiia; Parachlamydiales; Parachlamydiaceae. The record is from RNAcentral.
UCCUGGUUAACCCAGGCAGUCUCAUUAGAGUUCCCACCUUUACGUGUUGGCAACUAAUGAUAAGGGUUGCGCUCGUUGCGGGACUUAACCCAACACCUCACGGCACGAGCUGACGACAGCCAUGCAGCACCUGUGCAAAAGUCCCGAAGGAAGAUCCCAUUUCUGAGACUGUCUUUUGCAUGUCAAGUCUGGGUAAGGUUCUUCGCGUUGCAUCGAAUUAAACCACAUGCUCCACUGCUUGUGCGGGUCCCCGUCAAUUCUUUUGAGUUUCAGCCUUGCGACUGUACUCCCCAGGCGGUAUACUUAACGCGUUAGCUUCGGCACAAUUGGGGUUGAGUCCAAUUACACCAAGUAUACAUCGUUUACAGCAAGGACUAC